UCGAGGAUCUUUGGCAAUGGGCGCAAGCCUGACCAAGCGACGCCGCGUGUGCGAUGAAGGCCUUCGGGUUGUAAAGCACUGUCGAGGGGGAGGAAGCCGAAAGGUUGACCUAUCCCUGGAGGAAGGACGGGCUAAGUUCGUGCCAGCAGCCGCGGUAAGACGAACCGUCCAAACGUUGUUCGGAAUCACUGGGCUUAAAGGGCGCGUAGGCGGGUUGGCAAGUCUGUGGUGAAAUCCUCCAGCUUAACUGGAGAAGUGCCAUGGAUACUGCUGACCUCGAGGAGGGUAGGGGCAUCUGGAACUGUCGGUGGAGCGGUGAAAUGCGUUGAUAUCGACAGGAACUCCGGUGGCGAAGGCGAGGUGCUGGACCCUUUCUGACGCUGAGGCGCGAAAGCCAGGGGAGCAAACGGGAUUAGAUACCCCCGUAGUCC
This 431-nucleotide ribosomal RNA is filed under the name uncultured bacterium. RNAcentral describes it as "bacterial SSU rRNA". It matches the Rfam family "Bacterial small subunit ribosomal RNA", at positions 355 to 796 of the family's 1533-position model. The record is from RNAcentral.